UACGUAGGGUGCGAGCGUUGUCCGGAAUCAUUGGGCGUAAAGAGCGUGUAGGUGGCCCGGUAAGUCCGCCGUGAAAACCUGCAGCUUAACUGUGGGCUUGCGGUCGAUACGGGCAUCACUGGAGUUCGGCAGGGGAGACUGGAAUUCCUGGUGUAGCGGUGAAAUGCGCAGAUAUCGGGAGGAACACCAAUUGCGAAGGCAGCUCGCUGGGACGUUACUGACGCUGAGACGCGAAAGCGUGGGGAGCAAACAGG
Molecule: ribosomal RNA, 254 nt
Filed under: uncultured bacterium
Lineage: Bacteria
Description: partial 16S ribosomal RNA
Rfam family: Bacterial small subunit ribosomal RNA
Source: RNAcentral